AACGAACGCUGGCGGCAGGCCUAACACAUGCAAGUCGAACGCCCUCUUCGGAGGGAGUGGCAGACGGGUGAGUAACGCGUGGGAACCUACCUUACGGUACGGAAUAACUUCGGGAAACCGGAGCUAAUACCGUAUACGCCCUACGGGGGAAAGAUUUAUCGCCGUUUGAUGGGCCCGCGUCGGAUUAGCUAGUUGGUGGGGUAAUGGCCUACCAAGGCGACGAUCCGUAGCUGGUUUGAGAAGAUGAUCAGCCACACUGGGACUGAGACACGGCCCAGACUCCUACGGGAGGCAGCAGUGGGGAAUAUUGGACAAUGGGCGCAAGCCUGAUCCAGCCAUGCCGCGUGAGUGACGAAGGCCUUAGGGUUGUAAAGCUCUUUCAGCGGGGAAGAUAAUGACGGUACCCGCAGAAGAAGCCCCGGCUAACUCCGUG
This 433-nucleotide ribosomal RNA is filed under the name uncultured bacterium. RNAcentral's name for it is "bacterial SSU rRNA". It matches the Rfam family "Bacterial small subunit ribosomal RNA", at positions 29 to 507 of the family's 1533-position model. The record is from RNAcentral.